CAAUAGCGUAUAUUAAAGUUGUUGCGGUUAAAAAGCUCGUAGUUGGAUUUCUGCUGAGAACGACCGGUCCGCCCUUUGGGUGUGUAUCUGGCUCUUUCUUGGCAUCUUCUUGGUGAACGUUGCUGCACUUGACUGUGUGGAGCGCUACCCAGGACUUUUACUUUGAGGAAAUUAGAGUGUUUCAAGCAGGCAUACGCCUUGAAUACAUUAGCAUGGAAUAAUAAGAUAGGACCUCGGUUCUAUUUUGUUGGUUUCUAGAGCUGAGGUAAUGAUUAAUAGGGAUAGUUGGGGGCAUUCGUAUUUAACUGUCAGAGGUGAAAUUCUUGGAUUUACGAAAGACGAACUACUGCGAAAGCAUUUGCCAAGAAUGUUUUCAUUAA
Molecule: ribosomal RNA, 380 nt
Filed under: uncultured eukaryote
Lineage: Eukaryota
Description: partial 18S ribosomal RNA
Rfam family: Eukaryotic small subunit ribosomal RNA
Source: RNAcentral